RNAcentral lists this ribosomal RNA (309 nucleotides) under uncultured archaeon. RNAcentral's name for it is "bacterial SSU rRNA". It matches the Rfam family "Archaeal small subunit ribosomal RNA", at positions 526 to 834 of the family's 1478-position model. The record is from RNAcentral.
UGGAUCCACAAGUUCUUGGCGAAAUUCUGUCGCUUAACGAUAGAGCUUGCCGAGAAUACUGUAGAUCUUGAGACCGGGAGAGGCUAGAGGUACUCCUAGGGUAGGGGUGAAAUCCGUUAAUCCUAGGGGGACCACCUGUGGUGAAGACGUCUAGCUAGAACGGGUCUGACAGUGAGGAACGAAACCCAGGGGAGCGAACCGGAUUAGAUACCCGGGUAGUCCUGGGCGUAAACAAUGUGGGUCAGGUGUCACACAAUCUUAGUGGUUGUGUGGUGCCGAAGGAAAACCGUUAAACCCACCGCCUGGGGA